AGAGUUUGAUCCUGGCUCAGGAUGAACGCUAGCUACAGGCUUAACACAUGCAAGUCGAGGGGCAGCAUGGCCUAUCUUUCGGGAUGGGCCGAUGGCGACCGGCGCACGGGUGAGUAACGCGUAUCCAACCUUCCCUUUACUGGGGUCCAGCCCGUCGAAAGGCGGAUUAAUCCCCCAUGUUCUCCGUCCCGGACAUCUGUGUCGGAGCAAAGAUUUAUCGGUAAAGGAUGGGGAUGCGUCCGAUUAGCUUGUUGGCGGGGUAACGGCCCACCAAGGCAUCGAUCGGUAGGGGUUCUGAGAGGAAGGUCCCCCACACUGGAACUGAGACACGGUCCAGACUCCUACGGGAGGCAGCAGUGAGGAAUAUUGGUCAAUGGCCGUAAGGCUGAACCAGCCAAGUAGCGUGAGGGAAGACUGCCCUAUGGGUUGUAAACCUCUUUUAUGCGGGGAUAAAGGUGUCCACGUGUGGAUGUUUGCAGGUACCGCAUGAAUAAGGACCGGCUAAUUCCGUGCCAGCAGCCGCGGUAAUACGGAAGGUCCGGGCGUUAUCCGGAUUUAUUGGGUUUAAAGGGAGCGUAGGCCGGUCUUUAAGCGUGCCGUGAAAUUUUGUGGCUCAACCAUGAGAGUGCGGCGCCAACUGGAGACCCUUGAGUGCGCGGAAGGCAGGCGGAAUUUCGUGGUGUAGGGGUGAAAUGCUUAGGAUAUCACGAAGGAACCCCGAUUGCGAAGGGCAGCCUGCCGCAGCGUUACUGACGCUGAAGCUCGAAAGCGCGGGUAUCGAACAGGAUUAGAUACCCUGGUAGUCCGCGCGGUAAACGAUGGAUGCCCGCUGUCGGCGAUAUACAGUCGGCGGCCAAGCGAAAGCGUUAAGCAUCCCACCUGGGGAGUACGCCGGCAACGGUGAAACUCAAAGGAAUUGACGGGGGCCCGCACAAGCGGAGGAACAUGUGGUUUAAUUCGAUGAUACGCGAGGAACCUUACCCGGGCUUGAAUUGCAGAGGAAAGAUCCAGAGAUGGUGAUGCCCUUCGGGGCCUCUGUGAAGGUGCUGCAUGGUUGUCGUCAGCUCGUGCCGUGAGGUGUCGGCUUAAGUGCCAUAACGAGCGCAACCCCUUUCCCUAGUUGCCAUCGGUUCUAGCCGGGCACUCUGGGGACACUGCCUCCGCAAGGAGUGAGGAAGGUGGGGAUGACGUCAAAUCAGCACGGCCCUUACGUCCGGGGCUACACACGUGUUACAAUGGGUUAUACAGAGGGCCGGCCGCUGGCAACAUCGGUCCAAUCCUUAAAGUCAUCCUCAGUUCGGACUGGGGUCUGCAACCCGACCCCACGAAGCUGGAUUCGCUAGUAAUCGCGGAUCAGAACGCCGCGGUGAAUACGUAUCCCGGGUCUUGCACACACCGCCCGUCA
RNAcentral lists this ribosomal RNA (1405 nucleotides) under uncultured bacterium. Its description in RNAcentral is "16S ribosomal RNA". It matches the Rfam family "Bacterial small subunit ribosomal RNA". The record is from RNAcentral.